This 337-nucleotide long non-coding RNA is filed under the name Homo sapiens (human). RNAcentral describes it as "HSALNT0384059". The record is from RNAcentral. Lineage: Eukaryota; Metazoa; Chordata; Mammalia; Primates; Hominidae.
CUUUUCGGGGUCGAGUCCGAGGGGGAAGAGGUUUGUUAAUACGUUCGCCAUGUGCUACGAUCUUGGGACGAACUGAGCCACGAGCGUGGCUUUGAGGGCCGUCCGAACGCUGCAGGCCGGCCAGGUCCCUGGGCGUCCAGGCCUGGCCUACGCACCACUUUGUCCCUUAGCGUUUAAAGGUUUCUUCCCGAAUCUCAGGCCCUCAGCUACCUGCAGGUUUCGUCGCGAGCCGGCUGCAAGUUUUGAACCUAAGUAAACCUCAAUCCGGAGGGCCUAGCGGUAAGGUGGGCGCUGUGUCUAUUGAAGUGCUUAGCAAUAAAGAAAGGUAGUGAGUUGA